AUUGCUGGAACGCGCUUCGGCGCACCCAGAAACCCUUUGUGAACUUAUACCUUACUGUUGCCUCGGCGCAGGCCGGCCUCACUGAGGCCCCUCGGAAACGAGGAGCAGCCCGCCGGCGGCCAACCAAACUCUUGUUUCUUAGUGAAUCUCUGAGUAAAAAACAUAAAUGAAUCAAAACUUUCAACAACGGAUCUCUUGGUUCUGGCAUCGAUGAAGAACGCAGCGAAAUGCGAUAAGUAAUGUGAAUUGCAGAAUUCAGUGAAUCAUCGAAUCUUUGAACGCACAUUGCGCCCUCUGGUAUUCCGGAGGGCAUGCCUGUUCGAGCGUCAUUUCAACCCUCAAGCACUGCUUGGUGUUGGGGCACCGCCUGUGAAAGGGCGGGCCCUGAAAUCUAGUGGCGAGCUCGCCAGGACCCCGAGCGUAGUAAUUAUAUUUCGUUCUGGAAGGCCCUGGCGGUGCCCUGCCGUUAAACCCCCAACUUCUGAAAAUUUGACCUCGGAUCAGGUAGGAAUACCCGCUGAACUUAAGCAU
This 531-nucleotide ribosomal RNA is filed under the name Diaporthe columnaris. Its description in RNAcentral is "eukaryotic LSU rRNA". The stretch from base 176 to 329 matches the Rfam family "5.8S ribosomal RNA". The record is from RNAcentral. Lineage: Eukaryota; Fungi; Ascomycota; Sordariomycetes; Diaporthales; Diaporthaceae.